This 497-nucleotide ribosomal RNA is filed under the name uncultured bacterium. RNAcentral's name for it is "partial 16S ribosomal RNA". It matches the Rfam family "Bacterial small subunit ribosomal RNA", at positions 28 to 507 of the family's 1533-position model. The record is from RNAcentral.
GAUGAACGCUGGCGGCGUGCCUAAUACAUGCAAGUCGAGCGAACAGACGAGGAGCUUGCUCCUCUGACGUUAGCGGCGGACGGGUGAGUAACACGUGGAUAACCUACCUAUAAGACUGGGAUAACUUCGGGAAACCGGAGCUAAUACCGGAUAAUAUAUUGAACCGCAUGGUUCAAUAGUGAAAGACGGUUUUGCUGUCACUUAUAGAUGGAUCCGCGCCGCAUUAGCUAGUUGGUAAGGUAACGGCUUACCAAGGCGACGAUGCGUAGCCGACCUGAGAGGGUGAUCGGCCACACGGGAACUGAGACACGGUCCAGACUCCUACGGGAGGCAGCAGUAGGGAAUCUUCCGCAAUGGGCGAAAGCCUGGCGGAGCAACGCCGCGUGAGUGAUGAAGGUCUUCGGAUCGUAAAACUCUGUUAUUAGGGAAGAACAAAUGUGUAAGUAACUAUGCACGUCUUGACGGUACCUAAUCAGAAAGCCACGGCUAACUACGUG